GAUGAACGCUGGCGGCGUGCUUAACACAUGCAAGUCGAACGAUGAAGCCCAGCUUGCUGGGUGGAUUAGUGGCGAACGGGUGAGUAACACGUGAGUAACCUGCCCUUAACUCUGGGAUAAGCCUGGGAAACUGGGUCUAAUACCGGAUAGGAGCGUCCACCGCAUGGUGGGUGUUGGAAAGAUUUAUCGGUUUUGGAUGGACUCGCGGCCUAUCAGCUUGUUGGUGAGGUAAUGGCUCACCAAGGCGACGACGGGUAGCCGGCCUGAGAGGGUGACAGGCCACACUGGGACUGAGACACGGCCCAGACUCCUACGGGAGGCAGCAGUGGGGAAUAUUGCACAAUGGGCGCAAGCCUGAUGCAGCGACGCCGCGUGAGGGAUGACGGCCUUCGGGUUGUAAACCUCUUUCAGUAGGGAAGAAGCGAAAGUGACGGUACCUGCAGAAGAAGCACCGGCUAACUACGUG
This 466-nucleotide ribosomal RNA is filed under the name uncultured bacterium. RNAcentral describes it as "partial 16S ribosomal RNA". It matches the Rfam family "Bacterial small subunit ribosomal RNA", at positions 28 to 507 of the family's 1533-position model. The record is from RNAcentral.